UACAGAGGGCGCGAGCGUUGUCCGGAAUCACUGGGCGUAAAGGGCGCGUAGGUGGCCACUAUAAGGCCGCGGUGAAAGUUCGGGGCUCAACCCUGAAUCUGCCGCGGCGACUGUAGGGCUUGGGCACCGUAGAGGCAGAUGGAAUUCCGGGUGUAGCGGUGGAAUGCGUAGAGAUCAGGAGGAAUACCGGUGGCGAAAGCGACUCUCUGGACGGCAACUGACGCUGAGGCACGAAAGCGUGGGGAGCAAACAGG
RNAcentral lists this ribosomal RNA (254 nucleotides) under uncultured bacterium. Its description in RNAcentral is "partial 16S ribosomal RNA". It matches the Rfam family "Bacterial small subunit ribosomal RNA", at positions 524 to 776 of the family's 1533-position model. The record is from RNAcentral.